AACGAACGCUGGCGGCGCGCCUAAUACAUGCAAGUCGAACGAGAAUGUGUAGCAAUACACAUGUACAGUGGCGAACGGGUGAGGAAUACAUGGGUAACCUACCCUCGAGUGGGGAAUAACUAGCCGAAAGGUUAGCUAAUACCGCGUACGCUUCCCGGACUGCGGUUCGGGAAGGAAAGCGAUACCGUGGGUAUCGCGCUCUUGGAUGGGCUCAUGCCCUAUCAGCUUGUUGGUGAGGUAACGGCUCACCAAGGCUUCGACGGGUAGCUGAUCUGAGAGGAUGAUCAGCCACACUGGCACUGCGACACGGGCCAGACUCCUACGGGAGGCAGCAGUAAGGAAUAUUGCGCAAUGGGCGAAAGCCUGACGCAGCGACGCCGCGUGGGGGAUGAAGGUCUUCGGAUUGUAAACCCCUUUCGGGAGGGAAGAUGGGAUGGGGUAACCCAUUCGGACGGUCCUCCAGAAGC
Molecule: ribosomal RNA, 467 nt
Filed under: uncultured bacterium
Lineage: Bacteria
Description: bacterial SSU rRNA
Rfam family: Bacterial small subunit ribosomal RNA
Source: RNAcentral